GACGAACGCUGGCGGCGUGCCUAAUACAUGCAAGUAGAACGCACAGUUUAUACCGUAGCUUGCUACACCAUAAACUGUGAGCUGCGAACGGGUGAGUAACGCGUAGGUAACCUGCCUGGUAGCGGGGGAUAACUAUUGGAAACGAUAGCUAAUACCGCAUAAUAUUGAUUAUUGCAUGAUAAUUGAUUGAAAGAUGCUAUUGCAUCACUACCAGAUGGACCUGCGUUGUAUUAGCUAGUAGGUGAGGUAACGGCUCACCUAGGCGACGAUACAUAGCCGACCUGAGAGGGUGAUCGGCCACACUGGGACUGAGACACGGCCCAGACUCCUACGGGAGGCAGCAGUAGGGAAUCUUCGGCAAUGGACGAAAGUCUGACCGAGCAAUGCCGCGUGAGUGAAGAAGGUUGUCGGAUCGUAAAGCUCUGUUGUAAGAGAAGAACGGGUGUGAGAGUGGAAAGUUCACACUGUGACGGUAUCUUACCAGAAAGGGACGGCUAACUACGUG
This 505-nucleotide ribosomal RNA is filed under the name uncultured bacterium. Its description in RNAcentral is "partial 16S ribosomal RNA". It matches the Rfam family "Bacterial small subunit ribosomal RNA", at positions 28 to 507 of the family's 1533-position model. The record is from RNAcentral.